UACGUAGGUGACCAGCGUUGUCCUGAUUUACUGGGCGUAAAGAGCGCGCCGGCGGUCGUUCAAGUCGAGUGUGAAAGCCCCCGGCUCAACUGGGGAGGGUCACUCGAUACUGAUCGACUUGAAGGCAGGAGAGGGAUGCGGAAUUCCAGGUGUAGCGGUGAAAUGCGUAGAUAUCUGGAGGAACACCGGUGGCGAAGGCGGCAUCCUGGACCAAGACUGACACUGAAAAGCGAAAGCCAGGGGAGCAAACGGG
Molecule: ribosomal RNA, 253 nt
Filed under: uncultured bacterium
Lineage: Bacteria
Description: partial 16S ribosomal RNA
Rfam family: Bacterial small subunit ribosomal RNA
Source: RNAcentral